AUUUUAAUAAUUAAACUCUUAAAAUUUAUUACAUUGAAGAUGUAAUUUUUAUUAGAGUA
RNAcentral lists this transfer RNA (59 nucleotides) under Tetranychus truncatus. RNAcentral describes it as "tRNA-Phe". Lineage: Eukaryota; Metazoa; Arthropoda; Arachnida; Trombidiformes; Tetranychidae. The record is from RNAcentral.